Molecule: long non-coding RNA, 433 nt
Filed under: Mus spicilegus (steppe mouse)
Lineage: Eukaryota; Metazoa; Chordata; Mammalia; Rodentia; Muridae
Description: lncRNA (ENSMSIG00000001717.1)
Source: RNAcentral
UGUUUGGGGCAAGCACUUAACCAUCUUCUCAGUCCAGUUCUUGAUCUUUUUUUUUUUUUUGACAGUUUCUCCUGCUCCUGCUUUGCCAGUCCUCUAAGCUAAUCCUUUGACAUCAGAUGUUGGCAUCCUAUACAACUCCCGUCUACUGAGAGCAGGUGCGCAUUUGGGAGCAUGAACAAUUCAUUUCAUGAGUUCAUUUCAUGAUUACCUAUCUCAAGGAAAGGAACCUUCAUACACAAUGUGCUCCAUCUUCAAGCAGAAUGGAGAGUAAAGGGUUGCAAGAGGAACACAACACUGGGCAGGGAUCAGAAUGACAAAAACCAAACCCAUGGGCUUAGAGGAAAACGUGGAAGACAAGGCAGGAGGUAGGGAUGGCUGCAAAUAAGAAAGGAGUUGAAUAGGGGCAACCUUCUAAAGCCAGCACAAGGCGGGG